This 825-nucleotide long non-coding RNA is filed under the name Equus caballus (horse). RNAcentral's name for it is "lncRNA (ENSECAG00000057373.1)". The record is from RNAcentral. Lineage: Eukaryota; Metazoa; Chordata; Mammalia; Perissodactyla; Equidae.
UGGAUACAGUGAGCCUGUGCUGAAUGCAGUGCGCCUGCAGUGCGACUUCACCUUUAUGCAGUGUCCCUGCAGUUGUUGCAGUGCCCACUGCAUUGUCCAAGAACGUGGAUGCAGUGCCCAGGCUUUGGAUGCAGUUUGCCACAAGGUGCAAGCAAUAUGUUGUGACGGAGGAUGCAGUGCCCAUGAGGGUGGAUGCAGUGAUCCAGCAGUGGUUACAGUGCACCCUGCUGUGUCCCUGAAUGUGCAUGCUCUGAACAUGCAGUGGAUGCAGUGAUCCUGCAGUGAUUGCAGUGCACCUGUAUUUCCACAUGAGCUGGAAGCAGUGUCCCUGCAGGGGCUGCAUUUGUGUCUUGUGUGUCCCUGAAGGUGAAUGCAGUGCCCAUACGGUGGAUGCAGUGUACCUAAACGUUUAUGCAGUAUGUUGUGACGGAGGAUGCAGUGCGCAUGAAGGUGGAUGCAGUGUCACUGCAGUGGUUGAAGGGCCCCCAGCAUUGUGCUGGAAUGUGGAUGCAGGGGUCAUGUAGUGGAUGCAGUGUCUCACAAGGUAGAUGCAGUAUGUUUAGUCAGAGGAUGCAGUGCCCAUGAAGGUGGAUGUGGUGAACAUGCAGUGGUUGCAGUGCUCCCUACAGUUUCCCUGAAUGUGGAUGCAGUGCCCAUGCAGUGCAUGCAGUGUCCCACAAGGUGGAUGCGGUAUGCUGUGAUGGAGGAUGCAGUGCCCACGAAGGUGGAUGCAGUGAGCCUGAAGUGAUUGCAGUGCACUUGCAGUGCCUCUGCAGCAGGAUGCAGUGUAGCUGCUGUGGUUGCAGAGCCCCCUGACAUUUCCCU